GAUGAACGCUGGCGGCGUGCCUAAUACAUGCAAGUCGAGCGGUAAGGCCCCUUCGGGGGUACACGAGCGGCGGACGGCUGAGUAACGCGUAGGAACGUACCCCAAAGUGAGGGAUAAGCACCAGAAAUGGUGUCUAAUACCGCAUGUGGUCUUCGGAUUAAAGCUUCGGCGCUUUGGGAACGGCCUGCGUAUGAUUAGAUUGUUGGUGAGGUAACGGCUCACCAAGUCGACGAUCAUUAGCUGGUCUGAGAGGAUGAUCAGCCAGACUGGAACUGAGAACGGUCCAGACUCCUACGGGAGGCAGCAGUAGGGAAUUUUCCACAAUGGACGAAAGUCUGAUGGAGCAACGCCGCGUGCAGGAUGAAGGCCCUUGGGUUGUAAACUGCUUUUAUUUGUGACGAAUAUGACGGUAGCAAAUGAAUAAGGAUCGGCUAACUCCGUGCCAGCAGCCGCGGUCAUACGGAGGAUCCAAGCGUUAUCCGGAAUUACUGGGCGUAAAGAGUUGCGUAGGUGGCAUAGUAAGUAGAUAGUGAAAGCGUGGGGCUCAACCUCAUAAACAUUAUCUAAACUGCUAAGCUAGAGGGCGAGAGAGGUAACUAGAAUUCCUUGUGUAGGAGUGAAAUCCGUAGAUAUAAGGAGGAAUACCGAUGGCGUAGGCAGGUUACUGGCUCGUCCCUGACACUAAGGCACGAAAGCGUGGGGAGCAAACGGGAUUAGAUACCCCGGUAGUCCACGCCGUAAACGAUGGAUGCUAGCUGUUAGAAGUAUCGACCCUUCUAGUAGCGAAGCUAACGCGUUAAGCAUCCCGCCUGUGGAGUACGGUCGCAAGACUAAAACAUAAAGGAAUUGACGGGGACCCGCACAAGCGGUGGAGCGUGUUCUUUAAUUCGAAGGUAAGCGAAGAACCUUACCAGGGUUUGACAUCCCGGUGCAAUUUCCGAAAGGAAACUUCAUUUAGUUGGUCGGUGACAGGUGUUGCAUGGCCGUCGUCAGCUCGUGUCGUGAGAUGUUUGGUUAAGUCCAUCAACGAGCGCAACCCUUUUAUUCAGUUGGAUUUUUCUGAAUAUACUGCCCCGGUAACGGGGAGGAAGGAGGGGAUGAUGUCAGGUCAGUAUUACCCUUACACCCUGGGCUAGAAACACGCUACAAUGGCCGGUACAAAGGGCAGCCAAAGCGCAAGCUGGAGCAAAUCCCAUCAAAGCCGGUCCCAGUUCGGAUAGCAGGCUGAAACUCGCCUGCUUGAAGUUGGAAUCGCUAGUAACGGUAGGUCAGCACACUACCGUGAAUACGUUCCCGGGUCU
RNAcentral lists this ribosomal RNA (1301 nucleotides) under uncultured bacterium. Its description in RNAcentral is "bacterial SSU rRNA". It matches the Rfam family "Bacterial small subunit ribosomal RNA", at positions 28 to 1381 of the family's 1533-position model. The record is from RNAcentral.